UGGGGUGUAGCUCAGUGUUAGAGCAUGUACUUAGUAUGUGAGACCCUGGGUUUAAUUCACAGCACCACUA
This 70-nucleotide transfer RNA is filed under the name Marmota marmota marmota (Alpine marmot). It matches the Rfam family "tRNA". From Rfam's summary of the family: Transfer RNA (tRNA) molecules are approximately 80 nucleotides in length. Their secondary structure includes four short double-helical elements and three loops (D, anti-codon, and T loops). Lineage: Eukaryota; Metazoa; Chordata; Mammalia; Rodentia; Sciuridae. RNAcentral also lists the same sequence under 3 other names. The record is from Rfam by way of RNAcentral.